RNAcentral lists this long non-coding RNA (638 nucleotides) under Bos taurus (domestic cattle). Its description in RNAcentral is "long non-coding RNA NONBTAT012187". The record is from RNAcentral. Lineage: Eukaryota; Metazoa; Chordata; Mammalia; Artiodactyla; Bovidae.
CUAAAGUUUGUACCAAAUGGGGUCCACGUCUAUGUAGCUCACCCUCGCUUUUUAGAUUCACUUUUAAAAAUGACAUAUGAUUUAAUAGCUACAGACAGAAAGAAGAAAGAUCCUGCAUGCUCCCCUGUUUUUCUUGCAAAAGAGAAACUUCUAUAUCCAAACUAUAAUAAGACUUGACAGCAGGGCAAAGCAAGGUGAUAUAGUUAAAAUAAAAAGGAUUUGAAGUCAAGAAAGAAGAUACAAAUCUGAGGCAUGGGGAUGAUUCAAUGAGAGAAUGUAGGAGAACGGGAGAAGUACUCUGCUUACUGGUGGUUGGCUUCUAACUGGAGAUGCUCGCAAGUCUAGGGAAGAAUACCACUUAAAAUUCUUAUUCUUUUUUGCUUUCUGGUCAGUCAGUUUCAGCAAUCAUUUUCACACUGUGGUAGCUAAUGCUUUCAAGAUCUAAAACAUGGGCUAAUGAUAAACAAUGCUACUUACUGACACACACACAAAAAAACAAGGCUGACUUUGUUUACCAUUAUUUAGUGACAAUUCUAUCCACUGAAGCCACUCAGGAGUUGUGAAUAUCCUUUCCUGGAUGUGAGGCUAAAGUGCCACUGAAACUAUUCAAGGUUGUCAGGAUGUGUCAAAAAACGAUC